UGGAAGAUUCUAACCUGCCGCAGGUUCGGGUCGAACGCAGUGAGACAACGGAGCCGUUUACGGCGACGGCCCGAAGGGCGAGCGAAGCGAGUCAUCCUGCACGACCCACCA
Molecule: small RNA, 111 nt
Filed under: Salmonella enterica subsp. enterica serovar Aderike
Lineage: Bacteria; Pseudomonadati; Pseudomonadota; Gammaproteobacteria; Enterobacterales; Enterobacteriaceae
Description: partial RtT sRNA
Rfam family: RtT RNA
About the family: This family represents a bacterial cis-regulatory element known as RtT RNA. The exact function of RtT is unknown although it is thought that it may be involved in changing the cellular response in relation to amino acid starvation.
Source: RNAcentral